Molecule: unclassified non-coding RNA, 790 nt
Filed under: Hevea brasiliensis (rubber tree)
Lineage: Eukaryota; Viridiplantae; Streptophyta; Magnoliopsida; Malpighiales; Euphorbiaceae
Source: RNAcentral
AGACAUGGCAUUGCACCUUUCUCUAUUUCCCAUUCUUUUAAUACUGUAAGAAAUUCAAGUUUAAGAAUCUCUAGUUGAGGAAACCCCUGUGCAGAGCAGAGCAUUUUAGUUCCCUUAUAUGAAUUCUCCUCCAAGUAUAGAAACCUCAAAUUAGGCAGCUUCUCCAGAAAUAUCAUGGGAUCUUGCAUUAACCGAGAAUUACUCAAAAUUAACUUGGUGAUGCUUGCUGGUAGAUAUCCCAAGUUGUGAUUGAGCGACUCUGGAUAUUCUGGUAUAAUUCCAUUCAACUCUAGCUUCGUUAAACAUUGACAACGAGAAAGUGGCUCCAAGUUUGGAAAUGAGCUUUGCUUUCCCUGUAUGUUCAAAGAACGAAGACGACCUGUUGAAAAAAUUGGAGAUUUCAUAACCCCAUCAAUUUCUUCCCUUCUCCUGAAAUCGAUUGCUAAAUUUCGAAGAUUAGUCAAAUUCUGCAUUGCAUUUUUCCGAACAAGAUUCUCACAGUGUGUCCACCUCAAGGUCUCCAGGUUUCUUAAUGUAUCCAUCUGACAAUGACCCAGAAUAUUAUGCAAGUCUAUCAGUAAAUGUCUCAAAUCUUCUAGCGUCCACACUACAUCAGGCAGUCUUCCUAAUUGAUUAUCUCGUACAUCAAGGGUGUAUAAGCUCCUCAGCUUACCUAUGGACAUUGGCAAUGAUGUUUCCGAGGAUAAUUCAGUUUUUCGUAAUCCAAGAUACCUCAGAUGAAUCAGAUCACCAAUUUCAUUUGGUAGAUUUCCGAUAUAAACACCCUUAA